CAGUCGCCGCGGUAAUACGAAGGGGGCUAGCGUUGUUCGGAAUUACUGGGCGUAAAGGGCGCGUAGGCGGCCAUUCAAGUUAGAUGUGAAAGCCCUGGGCUCAACCUAGGAAUUGCAUUUGAUACUGUUUGGCUUGAGUUCGGGAGAGGUGAGUGGAAUUCCCAGUGUAGAGGUGAAAUUCGUAGAUAUUGGGAAGAACACCAGUGGCGAAGGCGGCUCACUGGACCGACACUGACGCUGAGGCGCGAAAGCGUGGGGAGUAAACAGGAUUAGAUACCCCCGUAGUCCCUGUCUCUUAUAA
This 301-nucleotide ribosomal RNA is filed under the name uncultured bacterium. RNAcentral's name for it is "partial 16S ribosomal RNA". It matches the Rfam family "Bacterial small subunit ribosomal RNA", at positions 509 to 809 of the family's 1533-position model. The record is from RNAcentral.